RNAcentral lists this ribosomal RNA (253 nucleotides) under uncultured bacterium. Its description in RNAcentral is "partial 16S ribosomal RNA". It matches the Rfam family "Bacterial small subunit ribosomal RNA", at positions 524 to 776 of the family's 1533-position model. The record is from RNAcentral.
GACGUAGGGCGCGAGCGUUGUCCGGAUUUAUUGGGCGUAAAGAGCUCGUAGGCGGCUUGUUGCGUCAGCUGUGAAAACCCGCAGCUCAACUGUGGGCUUGCAGCUGAUACGGGCAGGCCUGAGUUCGGUAGGGGAGACUGGAAUUCCUGGUGUAGCGGUGAAAUGCGCAGAUAUCAGGAGGAACACCGGUGGCGAAGGCGGGUCUCUGGGCCGAUACUGACGCUGAGGAGCGAAAGCGUGGGGAGCGAACAGG